GAUGAACGCUGGCGGCGUGCCUAAUACAUGCAAGUCGAGCGAACGGAUGAGAAGCUUGCUUCUCUGAUGUUAGCGGCGGACGGGUGAGUAAGACGUGGAUAACCUACCUAUAAUACUGGGAUAACUUCGGGAAACCGGAGCUAAUACCGGAUAAUAUUUUGAACCGCAUGGUUCAAAAGUGAAAGACGGUCUUGCUGUCACUUAUAGAUGGAUCCGCGCUGCAUUAGCUAGUUGGUAAGGUAACGGCUUACCAAGGCAACGAUGCAUAGCCGACCUGAGAGGGUGAUCGGCCACACUGGAACUGAGACACGGUCCAGACUCCUACGGGAGGCAGCAGUAGGGAAUCUUCGGCAAUGGGCGAAAGCCUGACGGAGCAACGCCGCGUGAGUGAUGAAGGUCUUCGGAUCGUAAAACUCUGUUAUUAGGGAAGAACAUAUGUGUAAGUAACUGUGCACAUCUUGACGGUACCUAAUCAGAAAGCAACGGCUAACUACGUG
RNAcentral lists this ribosomal RNA (497 nucleotides) under uncultured bacterium. RNAcentral describes it as "partial 16S ribosomal RNA". It matches the Rfam family "Bacterial small subunit ribosomal RNA", at positions 28 to 507 of the family's 1533-position model. The record is from RNAcentral.